RNAcentral lists this long non-coding RNA (442 nucleotides) under Gallus gallus (chicken). Its description in RNAcentral is "lncRNA (ENSGALG00010020062.1)". The record is from RNAcentral. Lineage: Eukaryota; Metazoa; Chordata; Aves; Galliformes; Phasianidae.
CUCCUCGGAGGGGUCCGCUGUCGGCGCGAACGCAGGUCGCUGCUCUACACGCGGGCACGGCGCGAGCUACGGGCACGCACCGAAGCUGAGCUUCGCCCUGACGGUGUGACCCUUCUGCUACGCGGAGAUUUGCCGGGUUUGCUUUGCAACUCGUUUUCCAUCCACGGUGCUGUUUCACCGGGGGAAGCGCGCGGUCGCAGAAAUAAACCGCUCUGGUGACAAAGCUGAAAGAUAAAUGAGCCUGUAGAGGUACGUAUUACACACUGCUCCAGAAGAGAUUCUCACUUAUCCGAAUGUUUUUUCCACUGGAAAGAUGUACUGAACCUUCUGGCAAGCUGGCUCUUCCUUACUUCUCUAUCUGCAAUCGGUGGUUGUGUUUCCCUUUUCUAAUGACAGCACAGCUACAGUCCAUCUACAGCAAAAACCACAGGGAAAAAAAAAA